GGGUUGUGAGGUUAAGCGACUAAGCGUACACGGUGGAUGCCCUGGCAGUCAGAGGCGAUGAAGGACGUGCUAAUCUGCGAUAAGCGUCGGUAAGGUGAUAUGAACCGUUAUAACCGGCGAUUUCCGAAUGGGGAAACCCAGUGUGAUUCGUCACACUAUCAUUAACUGAAUCCAUAGGUUAAUGAGGCGAACCGGGGGAACUGAAACAUCUAAGUACCCCGAGGAAAAGAAAUCAACCGAGAUUCCCCCAGUAGCGGCGAGCGAACGGGGAGCAGCCCAGAGCCUGAAUCAGUGUGUGUGUUAGUGGAAGCGUCUGGAAAGGCGCGCGAUACAGGGUGACAGCCCCGUACACAAAAAUGCACAUGCUGUGAGCUCGAUGAGUAGGGCGGGACACGUGGUAUCCUGUCUGAAUAUGGGGGGACCAUCCUCCAAGGCUAAAUACUCCUGACUGACCGAUAGUGAACCAGUACCGUGAGGGAAAGGCGAAAAGAACCCCGGCGAGGGGAGUGAAAAAGAACCUGAAACCGUGUACGUACAAGCAGUGGGAGCACAGAGCAAUCUGUGUGACUGCGUACCUUUUGUAUAAUGGGUCAGCGACUUAUAUUCUGUAGCAAGGUUAACCGAAUAGGGGAGCCGAAGGGAAACCGAGUCUUAACUGGGCGUUAAGUUGCAGGGUAUAGACCCGAAACCCGGUGAUCUAGCCAUGGGCAGGUUGAAGGUUGGGUAACACUAACUGGAGGACCGAACCGACUAAUGUUGAAAAAUUAGCGGAUGACUUGUGGCUGGGGGUGAAAGGCCAAUCAAACCGGGAGAUAGCUGGUUCUCCCCGAAAGCUAUUUAGGUAGCGCCUCGUGAAUUCAUCUCCGGGGGUAGAGCACUGUUUCGGCAAGGGGGUCAUCCCGACUUACCAACCCGAUGCAAACUGCGAAUACCGGAGAAUGUUAUCACGGGAGACACACGGCGGGUGCUAACGUCCGUCGUGAAGAGGGAAACAACCCAGACCGCCAGCUAAGGUCCCAAAGUCAUGGUUAAGUGGGAAACGAUGUGGGAAGGCCCAGACAGCCAGGAUGUUGGCUUAGAAGCAGCCAUCAUUUAAAGAAAGCGUAAUAGCUCACUGGUCGAGUCGGCCUGCGCGGAAGAUGUAACGGGGCUAAACCAUGCACCGAAGCUGCGGCAGCGACGCUUAUGCGUUGUUGGGUAGGGGAGCGUUCUGUAAGCCUGUGAAGGUGUACUGUGAGGUAUGCUGGAGGUAUCAGAAGUGCGAAUGCUGACAUAAGUAACGAUAAAGCGGGUGAAAAGCCCGCUCGCCGGAAGACCAAGGGUUCCUGUCCAACGUUAAUCGGGGCAGGGUGAGUCGACCCCUAAGGCGAGGCCGAAAGGCGUAGUCGAUGGGAAACAGGUUAAUAUUCCUGUACUUGGUGUUACUGCGAAGGGGGGACGGAGAAGGCUAUGUUGGCCGGGCGACGGUUGUCCCGGUUUAAGCGUGUAGGCUGGUUUUCCAGGCAAAUCCGGAAAAUCAAGGCUGAGGCGUGAUGACGAGGCACUACGGUGCUGAAGCAACAAAUGCCCUGCUUCCAGGAAAAGCCUCUAAGCAUCAGGUAACAUCAAAUCGUACCCCAAACCGACACAGGUGGUCAGGUAGAGAAUACCAAGGCGCUUGAGAGAACUCGGGUGAAGGAACUAGGCAAAAUGGUGCCGUAACUUCGGGAGAAGGCACGCUGAUAUGUAGGUGAAGUCCCUCGCGGAUGGAGCUGAAAUCAGUCGAAGAUACCAGCUGGCUGCAACUGUUUAUUAAAAACACAGCACUGUGCAAACACGAAAGUGGACGUAUACGGUGUGACGCCUGCCCGGUGCCGGAAGGUUAAUUGAUGGGGUUAGCGCAAGCGAAGCUCUUGAUCGAAGCCCCGGUAAACGGCGGCCGUAACUAUAACGGUCCUAAGGUAGCGAAAUUCCUUGUCGGGUAAGUUCCGACCUGCACGAAUGGCGUAAUGAUGGCCAGGCUGUCUCCACCCGAGACUCAGUGAAAUUGAACUCGCUGUGAAGAUGCAGUGUACCCGCGGCAAGACGGAAAGACCCCGUGAACCUUUACUAUAGCUUGACACUGAACAUUGAGCCUUGAUGUGUAGGAUAGGUGGGAGGCUUUGAAGUGUGGACGCCAGUCUGCAUGGAGCCGACCUUGAAAUACCACCCUUUAAUGUUUGAUGUUCUAACGUUGACCCGUAAUCCGGGUUGCGGACAGUGUCUGGUGGGUAGUUUGACUGGGGCGGUCUCCUCCUAAAGAGUAACGGAGGAGCACGAAGGUUGGCUAAUCCUGGUCGGACAUCAGGAGGUUAGUGCAAUGGCAUAAGCCAGCUUGACUGCGAGCGUGACGGCGCGAGCAGGUGCGAAAGCAGGUCAUAGUGAUCCGGUGGUUCUGAAUGGAAGGGCCAUCGCUCAACGGAUAAAAGGUACUCCGGGGAUAACAGGCUGAUACCGCCCAAGAGUUCAUAUCGACGGCGGUGUUUGGCACCUCGAUGUCGGCUCAUCACAUCCUGGGGCUGAAGUAGGUCCCAAGGGUAUGGCUGUUCGCCAUUUAAAGUGGUACGCGAGCUGGGUUUAGAACGUCGUGAGACAGUUCGGUCCCUAUCUGCCGUGGGCGCUGGAGAACUGAGGGGGGCUGCUCCUAGUACGAGAGGACCGGAGUGGACGCAUCACUGGUGUUCGGGUUGUCAUGCCAAUGGCACUGCCCGGUAGCUAAAUGCGGAAGAGAUAAGUGCUGAAAGCAUCUAAGCACGAAACUUGCCCCGAGAUGAGUUCUCCCUGAC
This 2804-nucleotide ribosomal RNA is filed under the name Escherichia coli. RNAcentral describes it as "partial 23S ribosomal RNA". It matches the Rfam family "Bacterial large subunit ribosomal RNA". Lineage: Bacteria; Pseudomonadati; Pseudomonadota; Gammaproteobacteria; Enterobacterales; Enterobacteriaceae. The record is from RNAcentral.